This is an RNA transcript of Callithrix jacchus (white-tufted-ear marmoset), 3460 nucleotides long. It is a transcript of the gene named cilia and flagella associated protein 298, with no coding region annotated. The record is from RefSeq and is a predicted model, not a curated record. NCBI's taxonomy places the organism in Eukaryota, Metazoa, Chordata, Mammalia, Primates, Cebidae.
UAUUUAUUAUUUUUGAGACACAGUCUCACUGUCGCCCAGUGUAGUGGCACGAUCUCGGCUCAUUGCAACCUCCGCCUCCCGGGUUCAAGCGAUUCUCCUAUCUCAGGCUCCCUAGUAGCUGAAAUUACAGGUACACGCCACUACGUUCGGCUAAUUUUUGUAUUUUUAGUAGGGACGGGGUUUCACCAUGUUGGCCAGGCUGGUUUCGAACUCCUGACCUCAGGUGAUCCGCUCGCCUCGGCUUUCCAAAGCGUUGGGAUUACAGGCGUGAGACACAGCGCCGGCCUGUCCAUUUAUUUUUGUUUUCUCUUUGUCACACUAAAAUAUAAGUUCCAUGGGAGCAGAAACUCGAUCUGAGGCUCCCGGAAGAAACAGCGACUGACGCCAAUUGCCUUCAACAAGAGACCGCUAGAAGAUAGCUGGUUAUUUUGGAGAGGGUCGCUCUGGAAGGAGCCGCGGCAGCUACCCUAGCUACGCCAUCCAAAUCAGCCUGAACGAAGAAGUGCAGACACUCGCCCUGGCCCCUCCGUCCUGAAAAGCAGACUAAUGCAAACAGCAGAAAACAACGCCACAGAGGUCCAAGUCACCGCGCCUAACUUUCCCAGGCCGGAAGCCGCGUGGAGGCGUUGCCGGAAGUCGAGACCGAGGGCGGAGAAAGGGACAGUGGGAUGUGGAGCGAUUGUGUGUGGCAAGGCAGCUGCGGAAUUCCGAGCCUGUGGUACCCGCUGUCCUUCCCAUUCCCCAUCUAGUAACUCUCAGGCUCAGCCCACGUAUCUCCCUGAGUGGAAUCUCGGGCCCCAGACCAAUCGACUGGGCGGUCCGCCCUCCCUUUCAGCGGCUUGAUCUGUGUUUGGAAAGUCGCCCCGACAACAGCCACUUCCGGGAGGGCGCUCCGCUAAUCCCGUUCCGCCGGUUGGCCAGAAUCAGCUGCCCUCUCAGGUUGUGUGGAUAGUUGCCCCGGCAGUAGCUACGUACGGGCGUAGACUGCUGGGCCUCCAUGCACCCCAGCCUUCCCCAUUCGGGUUCAGAGCUUGAACUGGCGGCUCCCCUGGCUCUGUUUCACUGUUGCUCCUAGCAACAGCUACUUCCGGGAGUGAGUGCGGUUUCCCUCGCGCACCGCGGACGCGGGAGCCUGAGGUUCCGGCCUCUGAGCGGCGGUUAGUGCGUCGUGGCAGCUCGCCAUCCAGCGACCCUCGGCCGGCAGGACCCGCGGGCCAAGUAGCUCGGGGCUUCUCACAGCCUCAGCGCCUCGGCGGGACUGCCAUGGUUCUGCUGCACGUGAAGCGGGGCGACGAGAGCCAGUUCCUGCUGCAGGCGCCUGGGAGCACCGAACUGGAGGAGCUCACGGUGCAGGUGGCUCGGGUCUACAAUGGGCGACUCAAGGUGCAGCGCCUCUGCUCAGAAAUGGAAGAAUUAGCAGAACAUGGCAUAUUUCUCCCUCCCAAUAUGCAAGGACUGACCGAUGAUCAGAUUGAAGAAUUGAAAUUAAAGGAUGAGUGGGGUGAAAAAUGUGUACCCAGCGGUGGUGCUAUAUUUAAAAAGGAUGAUAUUGGACGAAGGAAUGGACAAGCUCCAAAUGAGAAAAUGAAGCAAGUGUUAAAGAAGACUAUAGAAGAAGCCAAAGCAAUCAUAUCUAAGAAACAAGUGGAAGCCGGUAUCUGUGUUACCAUGGAGAUGGUGAAGGAUGCCUUGGACCAGCUGCGAGGCGCAGUGAUGAUUGUUUAUCCCAUGGGGUUGCCACCGUAUGAUCCCAUCCGGAUGGAAUUUGAAAAUAAGGAAGAUUUGUCAGGAACGCAGGCAGGGCUCAGCGUCAUUAAAGAGUCAGAGGCUCAGCUGUGGUGGGCAGCCAAGGAGCUGAGAAGAACAAAGAAGCUUUCAGACUACGUGGGGAAAAAUGAAAAAACCAAAAUUAUCACCAAGAUUCAGCAAAGAGGACAUGGCGCUCCAGCCCGAGAGCCCAUCAUCAGCAGCGAGGAGCAGAAGCAGCUGAUGCUGUACUAUCACAGGAGGCAAGAAGAGCUCAAGAGAUUAGAAGAAAAUGAUGACGACGCCUGUUUAAACUCUCCAUGGGCGGAUAACACUGCUUUGAAAAGACAUUUUCAUGGAGUAAAAGACAUAAAGUGGAGACCAAAAUGAAGUUCACCAGCUGAUGACACUUCUGAAAAGAUGAGCUCACCUUUCUCCUGGACACAAUAGUUACAAUUUAAAAAGCCACUUAGCACUCUCUGUAAAAGAUGUUAAAUCUAGUUUUCUUUAGUGUGAAUUUUUAAAACGGCAGUUAUUCAAGGUUUUAGAACUUAAUAAAUACGUAGUCGGAAGAAAAUGUGUAAAUCAUUUGUUUCAGGACAGCUAUUUAGUAUGUGAGGGUUUUCUUUGAUAAAAUACUAAACUUUUUUUCCUCCUGAUUGUUUUGUAUUCUCGUGACAACUGGUUGUAUUGGAGGAAAGCUGAUGACCAGCAGUGACCACUAGAGGCCGCCAGCCGCUCAGCGAGCCUUUUUCUCUGGGCCCUCUUCGUAGAUGUAUUGGAGGCCGGACGCCCAGCCUUGCUGGAGAGAGAGACUUCUCUCACCCUGCGGCGGGGUCUAACUAGCCAGGCGUCUCCCAGUCUUGAAGGUGAAGUUUGCCUCCUAGUUGAUGCCUGUCAGGCCUUGUAUUCUGGGAGGGAAAGCUACACCUGUGAUGGAAGUUGAGUAGCAAACUCAUCCGACCUUGGAACUUAAAUUCGUCUGCAGUUUCCCAGCUUCUCAAGUCUCCUUCAUCAGAAUAGAUCCUGGAAACAAAUCUAGAUUCUGUGAAGGGUGAUGUCUCCCCGUGGAUGCAGGUAUGACUGUGGGCUCAGCUUCAUAGGCGGCUCAGUGACCAACCGUGGGAUGAACAGGGUUGCCAUCAUCCUGGGUGUCUAGGAUGCCUUUGAGUUUCAAGACUCUUAACUCAUCAUGACUGCAAACCAUCCAAGUAGCCUGAAAACUCUGGCACUUUAGCAUCCGCAAAGACGCCUGUCAGACCGCCGGUGACAACCAGAAGUGGCCCAGACGUUUCCUCGUGCUUGACUUUUGGUGCCUAGGGUCCUGUUCCCUUGGUUAGAGGGAAAACGCACUGAGGGGAAAGUGAAGGGCGUGGGGCAUCUCCCUGCCCAGCCCUUCCUGCCUUGGUGCCUGUGCUCCCCACCAUCCUGUAAAGACGAACCCUGGGAGCGAGUGGAGGGGGCAUGAGAAUGGGUCCGCUUGCUGCCAGGCAGCCUUGCCCAGGGCGUGGGGUCCCAGACCCGAUAGCAAAGCCCUGUUGUCUAAAGCGCAUGUAGCUGACUGCGUCUUGUACCUUACUCUUUUAUUUUCAAAUUUUGUAAAACCAAAAUUGCAUCUAUUUCCCUUUUUACUCAGUUACAGUUUUAAAUGUCUCUAUGAAAGAGUUUUGACCUUGGAUGAUGUAGUGUGUGCAAUAAGAUGCUGUGAUUUUUA